GCCCACAUAGCUCAGUUGGUAGAGCGCAUCCUUGGUAAGGAUGAGGUCACCGGUUCAAAUCCGGUUGUGGGCU
Pelobacter sp. is the source of this 73-nucleotide transfer RNA. It matches the Rfam family "tRNA". From Rfam's summary of the family: Transfer RNA (tRNA) molecules are approximately 80 nucleotides in length. Their secondary structure includes four short double-helical elements and three loops (D, anti-codon, and T loops). NCBI's taxonomy places the organism in Bacteria, Pseudomonadati, Thermodesulfobacteriota, Desulfuromonadia, Desulfuromonadales, Desulfuromonadaceae. The record is from Rfam.